RNAcentral lists this ribosomal RNA (414 nucleotides) under uncultured microorganism. Its description in RNAcentral is "bacterial SSU rRNA". It matches the Rfam family "Archaeal small subunit ribosomal RNA", at positions 459 to 872 of the family's 1478-position model. The record is from RNAcentral.
CAGCAGCCGCGGUAAUUCCGGCGGCCCGAGUGGCGGCCACUAUUAUUGGGCCUAAAGCGUCCGUAGCCGGGCUGGUAAGUCCUCCGGGAAAUCUGGUCGCUUAACGAUCAGACUUCCGGAGGAUACUGCUGGCCUAGGGACCGGGAGAGGCCGAGGGUAUUCCCGGGGUAGGGGUGAAAUCCUGUAAUCCCGGGAGGACCACCUGUGGCGAAGGCGCUCGGCUGGAACGGGUCCGACGGUGAGGGACGAAGGCCAGGGGAGCGAACCGGAUUAGAUACCCGGGUAGUCCUGGCGGUAAACGAUGCGGACUAGGUGUCGGGCAAGCUAAGGGCUUGUCCGGUGCCGCAGGGAAGCCGUUAAGUCCGCCGCCUGGGGAGUACGGCCGCAAGGCUGAAACUUAAAGGAAUUGGCGGG